GGACCCGUAGCUCAGCGGUAGAGCGUAAGAUUCCAGGCCCUGGGUUAGGGUUGGAAAUUCCUUAAGGUCAUCCGUUCAAUCCGGGUCGGGUUCA
This 94-nucleotide transfer RNA is filed under the name Coprinellus micaceus. It matches the Rfam family "tRNA". From Rfam's summary of the family: Transfer RNA (tRNA) molecules are approximately 80 nucleotides in length. Their secondary structure includes four short double-helical elements and three loops (D, anti-codon, and T loops). Lineage: Eukaryota; Fungi; Basidiomycota; Agaricomycetes; Agaricales; Psathyrellaceae. The record is from Rfam by way of RNAcentral.